UGCCACCCAGAUCUGGGGGAGAGGGGGGAGCUCCUGAAUCCGGGUAGCAGGUUGGCAUUUCUAACCUGAGCCCAGGUUAAUCUGCUGUGUGUACGGGUUGUUGAGCGAACUGGUAAACUGCCCGAGAGUCUUGCCUGAAUGAUGAACUGACACUAACUGACAAGAGCUGGCGUAUGACUCCGACCUCACUGAAUUUCCUCUUUCUCCUGCCAGUGGUCGUGGCAGCCCAGGAUAAGGUGACGGGGAGACCACAAGGGCAAAUGUGACAUAAGGCAGAAGGGCAAAUGUGACAUAAGGCAUCUUGAGAACUUCCAGUUGGUUGGUAGUGCCUCAUGGGACAGGAGCCUUCUCUCGUAGGCUGGGAAGGCAGUGGGACCAGCACACGAUCAUGUGGAUCAGUGUUCACUUUUCCAGAUGCAAAGAGAGGAGACAUGGUCACCUUGCAUACAUUUUGAUAACAUCCCUUGGGCAAGAGGAAGGUAUAACUCACAAUAGAUAACCUCUGCUUUUGUUCGAGCGUUGUCUCCUUUAUCUGCAACAUGGGGGUGUUGAGUGAUGCCACAGGCAGCUGGAAGGCCUCACUUAUUUGACCUAAUUAUUCCCAAUGUAGACCUGACUCAUCAGAACGGGCUCUUCUUCAAAGGAAAUGAGAGCCAGAUUGUCUCCUUGGCAGCCAUGGGAAACAAAUGCUAUCCACAGAAUGGCUGAGAUAUUGAAAAAAGGCACGGUUGGCUUUUGGGGCCAGCUGCCAUUUAACAGUGUGACCAGGAAUGGAGGACUGGAGGGAGGGGAGUGUCAACUUCUGACAUUCUAGCUGUCUCAAAAUGUUCUUAAUAAAAUUAACUCACCUUUGGAUGCCGUGGGCAAAAGUAACCCCAUAUUAAGAACCCAGGGAAGAAUGGAAACUUUCAGUGGGGUGUUUUUUUUUUUAAAUAUUAAUAAUUGAGUAAAUUUCCAUGGGUAUACUAGGGGGACUUUUCACAGGGGAACCUUCUUAUUUCUUGGUCCUCUCAGGUGCUCUGUUGAAGAAUUGAAGGAUGGGGAAAUGGAGAAAGGGAGUUGAAAUGACCCUCUUGUUGCCAUUAGGCAAAUCCAGCACAGAAUGGGAGCGGCGUGCCGCAUUCCCUCUCCGAACGGCCUGCCUUAGCUCAACGAUGCAUAUCUGAACUUAACACUUCAUCUUAGACGGUCGCCAGUUGUCCAUACCGAAACGCAGGUGCACUGAAAAUACUCAUGUAACCCUUCCCCGGUCCCACCGUCCUGUUGUACAGUCGUGGUUAAGAAUGCCACAACCCUAAGAAUUAGGGAAAGAUGUGCACUUGGCUGAUCCCUGUGGCACCGUCUGGCUCGCGGCCUUUUGUGCAGCAAUUCCCGAAGCACCGGACCGUGAAGAUGCCCGACUGACAACAUCGUUCCAGCGUCGGCCUGCUGUUGCCGGAGAGGAGCCUCCAAAGACGCCGUGUUUGAUCUCAGCCUGGAUCCCCUCUGGGAGGAGGAGAGGGAAUCCCACAAGCUAUUCGUUAAGAAGAUCCUGUUGUUUGGUCACGUCCUCUGACACCGUAGCCAUGCACGCAUACAGGUGUAGUUGGCAUUCUGACGUGUGCAUAGUGCGUUUUCGUCUCUUCCCUGGAGUCCAGGCCAAAGCCUGAGGUUCCUUUUGACACAACUCUGCCCAAAACUCUGGCUUUGUGCUCUCCGGCGCUCCGCAAUAACAUACCAGCUCUGUGGUGUGGCCAGUGUUUACUUAAUUGGCGGGAGGACUUUUUAAUCUCCAAAGGCAAACGUUUCUUCUGCAUUCCACAUAGAGCUCAUCUGCCAGCAGUGAAAUAGUCAUCAAGAAGUGGGGGCCAGUGAGUACAAGGAUGGCCAGAGGUGAUACACCGCAGACCAUCUGGGUAAUGGGACGGGGUCCAUCAGAGGGCGUUAGUGCUCACCUUCUUCACAGACCUCUGGAUGAGCGGUGACUCCUAGGUCGGAGAUUUCCUGAACGUGUCAUGUUUCCUGGAAAAGAAGAGGUUGAGGGUGCCCUGUUUUCAGGGGAAGAACAACUUUGCUGUAAGUUGUGUUGCUCAAUGGUAAAUGUUUACACGUUUCUACAACUUUGAUUUAUUUUGAUUGUGGUAAUUCAUAAAAGAUGUUGUAGCUCUGAAGCUUGGCAGUUCCCCCAAAGCACAAUCUGCCAGAGACUCUCCCCAGGAUCUGCUUACCUAUUACAGAAACCAAGAGAGUCCCAGUAGGACAGAGGCGUGUGGAUGGCAGAGAACAUCUCUGGAGGUGAGAAUAUGGCAACAAGGGAUCCCGAGACAUAACAAAUGCGCCAGUCUGACUUCUUUUCUGGAUGCACACAGAGCCUCUACUUCUCUCUAAAACUGGGGCAAUGCUAGAGGUAUUAGUUUCUUGAAAUGUUCGCAAGUCCUUGCAACGCAGUGCUGGGAUUUGCAGUGAUGUAUGUAGACGGGACAUGCCUCAAAUGGAACGUUGCUGAUUGAGUUUUAGUCCCGGGGGCUAACAUUCCAUCUUAUGGAUUAUUGUGUCCAGCUUUCAAGUUCAUGUUGAGCUCUGAACAGCUGUUAGGCCUUUGAUGCUCAUAUCCCCAGAGCCCAAUCUUUCAGCUGACUGCUUUCAGCUGACUGCAGAGCCAUAUGCCAUGAACUCCGGGACUGACGUAGGAAGUCACAGCCCUGGUCUCGUUAGGACUGCUCUGCAAAGCUGAGGGCAAGGAUAUGCAGAGACGUGGGCUGAUUUGUUCUUUUAAUGCCGUUUUUUUUUUUCAGAUCAAGUGAAACAAUAGUAUGUCAUCAUUAGUAGAUUUCAUAAACGUUUAUUGGGCAUCACCAUAUGUCAGGCCGAGAUUCAAAGUUUAAUAAUACACAAAGCAGCCAUUGAGGAAUUUAUACGUGGUGUAUAUUUCUCUCCCUUCACUAGACUCAGCACGGUGUUAUUCUCAGUUAUCUUCUGAUCUCUGCCAUCCAGCAUCAAGCCUGGUCCAUGAUGGGUAUUUAACAAAUGUUGAAACAGUAUGCAAAAAGCAGUUCGCCUUGAGAUUUUCCUUUCUUGUUCUCUAACAGCCUUGCCUCACGCAUAUCAACUGACAGAUUUCCUCCUAUCAAAAUGCCAGAACAUCUUUCCCUCUAGAUGCUUAUUUCCUAUUGCACCUCUUACAACUACUGUGAAGAGAAACAAACUUUUUUCCUUUAUGGCAAGCGGGACUUCUCACUAGUAUCUAUGAUCAUCCAUAAAGGCAGACAUUUUUUUUGUCCUUUUGUUCACUGCUAUUUCCCCAGCACCAAAAAUAUUGCCUGGGGCAUAGUAAUCACAUGUCAGUUCAUGUCUUUGUAAUUAUUUGUUGAACGAAUACAUAAAAUUGAAAUCAGGACAAAAGAUCUUGACGUAUUAGACAGGUUCAGUUAAGCUAUGUGGCAGUAACAAAUAACCCUGGAAAUCUCAGAGGCUGAACACAUAUAGGUUUGUUUCUCUUUUCCACAGAGCUGGCUGGGGAUCCCGCUGCCUUCUAGAUCAGCUCCUUUCCCAGUGGUAACACCAGGAUCCAGUAUGACCGCAUCCUGUAGCUAACCUGGAAUGUAUAGCUUUGGGCUUCCUCUUCUAGGGGAAGGGAGGGCGAAAGGGUUGCACACUGACUCAUAAAUGCUUUUGCCUGGAAAUGAUGCAUGUCACUUCUGUUCACAGUCUUUUGGCUACAUGGCUGGGAAAUGUGGGUGAGCCCAUGAGUAUCUGGUGGGCAUGCUCCACUAAAUAUGUUAGUCAGUGCUUGCUAAGUGAUGCUGUAAUACCUUAGGAAAGCGACUCUUUGUGUCCCACCCUUAGUCUUACCGCUUCGGUGCAUGACGGCCAGCUUCCCAAUGCGUAUCUGCGUAUCUUUGCCUGAAGUCUCUCUUGGGUUGCUGGAUCUCGCUUUGGGCUCCUGCUUUGCCUUCAGCAUAAGAGGCUCUGGGUGCCAGGAAGCCACCCUACGUCAGGCUGAGAUUAAGGCUGAAUAAGACACAGAGCAGCCAUCAAGGAGUUUAUACUGUUUACGUUUCUGUCUCCCUCACUAGACUCAGCUUGUUAAAGGCGGCAUCGACUCAAUCGAUGACUGCUGGGCUUUAGUGUAUAAAUAGCUCAGCCCCGUCACUACUCAGCUGGUGGCAUGACCGGGAGGUGCAUUUUCUGCACUGGCUCCCAGAGACGGCAGGGGGGUUAAGCUCUAAUUGUCCGCAGCGAUGACUUACUUGAUAACAAACCUAUAACUGGCUGUCUUCCCCUCCCCGUCUCACUUCCUCAUUCCCCUGACAGUGUUUCUUGGGAUUUCCUCUCAAAUAAACUAUUUACAUUUGA
Long non-coding RNA from Leopardus geoffroyi (Geoffroy's cat), 4335 nucleotides. RefSeq lists it as uncharacterized. The record is from RefSeq and is a predicted model, not a curated record. The transcript has 2 exons. Lineage: Eukaryota; Metazoa; Chordata; Mammalia; Carnivora; Felidae.